This 253-nucleotide ribosomal RNA is filed under the name uncultured bacterium. RNAcentral's name for it is "partial 16S ribosomal RNA". It matches the Rfam family "Bacterial small subunit ribosomal RNA", at positions 524 to 776 of the family's 1533-position model. The record is from RNAcentral.
UACGUAGGGAGCAAGCGUUGUCCGGAAUCAUUGGGCGGAAAGCGCGCGUAGGCGGCCCUGUAAGUCCGUUGUGAAAGUCAAAGGCUCAACCUUUGAAAGCCGAUGGAUACUGCAGGGCUAGAGUUCGGAAGAGGCGAGUGGAAUUCCUGGUGUAGCGGUGGAAUGCGCAGAUAUCAGGAGGAACACCAAUAGCGAAGGCAGCUCGCUGGGACGAUACUGACGCUAAGGCGCGAAAGCGUGGGGAGCAAACGGG